GAGGGGUUUAACGAUUGCUAUGGUUCUGUGACAUCAACUCUUUGUAUCUUGCUUCUUCAGUGUCACCAUUCUGUGCUUUUCACCUCUGUUUAUCUAAUUCUAUGUUUAGCUUCUUCUGGUAACAAACUGGGGGUAGAAGACUUGCAACUUGCAAGUCAGAACUUGACUCUAAUGCUCCAAAACAUUUAUUUCUUGGGGAUUGGAGAUAAUAGGAAUUGUUGUGAUUUAACAAAAAAAUAAUAUCAAUAUUGGCCUAGUUUUAUUAGAUUUCCCCUAGGCUAUAAUAAUAUUCCACGAAUCCUUUGGUGGAUAACCCAAGGAUUCGGUUACGUUGUGAGCUUUGCAAUUUGCGGCGGCCUGUGGGUA
This 366-nucleotide long non-coding RNA is filed under the name Glycine max (soybean). Its description in RNAcentral is "long non-coding RNA (GMAX_LNC001214)". Lineage: Eukaryota; Viridiplantae; Streptophyta; Magnoliopsida; Fabales; Fabaceae. The record is from RNAcentral.